This is a long non-coding RNA of Ornithorhynchus anatinus (platypus), 459 nucleotides long. RefSeq lists it as uncharacterized. Lineage: Eukaryota; Metazoa; Chordata; Mammalia; Monotremata; Ornithorhynchidae. The transcript is spliced from 2 exons. The record is from RefSeq and is a predicted model, not a curated record.
AGGAACAUCUUGGUCCCUUUUUUAACAUAUGGGAUCAUGUGAAGGGCUGAGGUCCCAGGGAGGAGGAGGAGGGAACUGACCCCUGCUGACCUGAGUUGGGGGUGGAAAUUUGCAGUCUGAUUCUCAGACCAAGCCCAGCCCAUCCCCCUGGGAUGGACACGGGGAAGGGACUGACCCCCUGCUAGGACAGCCAGUUGGAUAAUGCCAGUAUGGUGGUUUGAGGAAUUUUCAGAAGACGUAGGUGGUCUGCUCCAGAGAAGCAUCACUUCUCUUCGCCCUGGUGGACAUUUCGACAUCAGCUGAAGGCGAGGAAUGAAGGAUGAGACAUGAAGAGCUGGAUCUGGCCAACAGAUGGCGCUGCUAUGGCUGAAAACCCCGGCAUGCCAUUACAUGUAAAUGAGGCCCAAGAAAUGGGCUGCUGGGAAUCAUCUUUUUAUAAAGUUUGGCCACAGCCUAGUA